This 1525-nucleotide ribosomal RNA is filed under the name human gut metagenome. RNAcentral's name for it is "bacterial LSU rRNA". It matches the Rfam family "Bacterial large subunit ribosomal RNA", at positions 1391 to 2925 of the family's 2925-position model. The record is from RNAcentral.
CUAAGGCGAGGCCGAGAGGCGUAGUCGAUGGACAACAGGUAGAGAUUCCUGUACUCAUAUAUAUGUGAAGGAAUGACGGAGAGAGGAAGCUGCAGCCAGCGGCUGGAAGAGCUGGUGCAAGCGAGAUAUCGGGAUGGCAGGCAAAUCCACCAUCCGAAACGAGAAGGCGUGAAGCGUACGGAAAGCUAAGGCGAGUACGGAAGGCAGUGGAGGAGCUUCCAAGAAAAGUUUCUAACGAAAGUAUAUGUGACCCGUACCGAAAAUGGACACACAUGGGUGAGGAGAGAAUCCUAAGGUGAGCGAGAGAACUAUAGCUAAGGAACUCUGCAAAAUGACUCCGUAACUUAGGGAGAAGGAGUGCUCAUAGAGAUAUGAGCCGCAGUGAAACGGCCCAAGCGACUGUUUACCAAAAACACAGCUCUCUGCUAAGCCGCAAGGCGAAGUAUAGGGGGUGACGCCUGCCCGGUGCUGGAAGGUUAAGGGGAGGGGUUAACGCAAGUGAAGCCCUGAACUGAAGCCCCAGUAAACGGCGGCCGUAACUAUAACGGUCCUAAGGUAGCGAAAUUCCUUGUCAGGUAAGUUCUGACCCGCACGAAAGGCGUAACGAUUUGGGCGCUGUCUCAGCUGUAGACUCGGUGAAGUCUUAGUACCUGUGAAGAUGCAGGUUACCCGCGACUAGACGGAAAGACCCCAUGGAGCUUCACUGCAGGUUGAUAUUGGGAUUUGAUGCAGCAUGUACAGGAUAGGUAGGAGGCAAGGAGAUGGAUACGCCAGUAUUCAAGGAGCCGCUGUUGGGAUACUACCCCUGUUGUAUUGGAUUUCUAACCGGACGACGUAAAGCCGUUGACGGGACAGUGUCAGUCGGGCAGUUUGACUGGGGCGGUCGCCUCCCAAAGAGUAACGGAGGCGCCCAAAGAUACCCUCAGCUUGGAUGGAAACCAAGCGCAGAGUGCAAAGGCAAAAGGGUGUUUGACUGCGAGACCCACAAGUCGAGCAGGGACGAAAGUCGGGCUUAGUGAUCCGGCGGUGCUGAAUGGAAAGGCCGUCGCUCAACGGAUAAAAGCUACCCUGGGGAUAACAGGCUGAUCUCCCCCAAGAGUUCACAUCGACGGGGAGGUUUGGCACCUCGAUGUCGGCUCAUCGCAUCCUGGAGCUGAAGUCGGUUCCAAGGGUUGGGCUGUUCGCCCAUUAAAGCGGUACGCGAGCUGGGUUCAGAACGUCGUGAGACAGUUCGGUCCCUAUCUGUCGUGGGCGCAGGAAAUUUGAGAAGAGCUGUCCUCAGUACGAGAGGACCGGGAUGGACGCAUCAAUGGUGGACCAGUUGUCACGCCAGUGGCAUAGCUGGGUAGCUAAAUGCGGAAGGGAUAAACGCUGAAGGCAUCUAAGUGUGAAACCCACUUCAAGAUGAGAUUUCCCAUUGCGCAAGCAAGUAAGACCCCUUAAAGACGAUAAGGUAGAUAGGUCAGGAGUGUAAGCAUGGUGACAUGUUAAGCGGACUGAUACUAAUAGGUCGAGGGCUUGACCG